CGACAUAAUGCAACUAGCACAAUCUAAUAAUCACCACCACCACCACCACUAAACCCAGCUUUCUUGUAUACGACCGUACCGCAAACCGACACUGGUGCGCGAGAUGAGUAUUCUAAGGCGCUUGAGAGAACUCAGGAGAAGGAACUCGGCAAGUUGACACCGUAACUUCGGAAGAAGGUGUGCCCUAUUAGUGUGUAGUGAACAACGAAGCAUGAAUGGGUUGCAAAAAAUCGGUGGCUGCGACUGUUUAUUAAAAACACAGCACUCUGCAAACACGAAAGUGGACGUAUAGGGUGUGACGCCUGCCCGGUGCUGGAAGAUUAAAUGAUGGGGUGCAAGCUCUUGAUUGAAGUCCCAGUAAACGGCGGCCGUAACAAUAACGGUCCUAAGGUAGCGAAAUUCCUUGUCGGGUAAGUUCCGACCUGCACGAAUGGCGUAACGAUGGCCACACUGUCUCCUCCUGAGACUCAGCGAAGUUGAAAUGUUUGUGAUGAUGCAAUCUCCCCGCGGAAAGACGGAAAGACCCCAUGAACCUUUACUGUAGCUUUGUAUUGGACUUUGAACAGAUCUGUGUAGGAUAGGUGGGAGGCUUUGAAGCAGGGUCGCUAGAUCUUGUGGAGCCAACGUUGAAAUACCACCCUGGUGUGUUUGAGGUUCUAACCUAGGUCCAUUAUCUGGAUCGGGGACAGUGCAUGGUAGGCAGUUUGACUGGGGCGGUCUCCUCCCAAAGCGUAACGGAGGAGUUCGAAGGUACGCUAGUUACGGUCGGACAUCGUGACGAUAGUGCAAUGGCAUAAGCGUGCUUAACUGCGAGACUGACAAGUCGAGCAGAUGCGAAAGCAGGACAUAGUGAUCCGGUGGUUCUGUAUGGAAGGGCCAUCGCUCAACGGAUAAAAGGUACUCUGGGGAUAACAGGCUGAUACCGCCCAAGAGUUCAUAUCGACGGCGGUGUUUGGCACCUCGAUGUCGGCUCAUCUCAUCCUGGGGCUGUAGCCGGUCCCAAGGGUAUGGCUGUUCGCCAUUUAAAGAGGUACGUGAGCUGGGUUUAAAACGUCGUUAGACAGUUUGGUCCCUAUCUUCCGUGGGCGCUGCAGAUUUGAGGAAGCCUGCUCCUAGUACGAGAGGACCGGAGUGGACACACCUCUGGUGUAUCGGUUGUCACGCCAGUGGCAUUGCCGAGUAGCUAAGUGUGGAAGAGAUAACCGCUGAAAGCAUCUAAGCGGGAAACUCGUUUCAAGAUGAGAUCUGCCGGGGCCUUGAGCCCCCUAAAGAGUCGUUCAAGACCAGGACGUUGAUAGGUCAGGUGUGGAAGCGGAA
RNAcentral lists this ribosomal RNA (1317 nucleotides) under metagenome. RNAcentral describes it as "bacterial LSU rRNA". It matches the Rfam family "Bacterial large subunit ribosomal RNA", at positions 1559 to 2878 of the family's 2925-position model. The record is from RNAcentral.